UAGUGGCGAACGGGUGAGUAACACGUGGGCAAUCUGCCCUUCACUCUGGGACAAGCCCUGGAAACGGGGUCUAAUACCGGAUAAUACCUGCCUGGGCAUCUGGGUGGGUUAAAAGCUCCGGCGGUGAAGGAUGAGCCCGCGGCCUAUCAGCUUGUUGGUGAGGUAGUGGCUCACCAAGGCGACGACGGGUAGCCGGCCUGAGAGGGCGACCGGCCACACUGGGACUGAGACACGGCCCAGACUCCUACGGGAGGCAGCAGUGGGGAAUAUUGCACAAUGGGCGAAAGCCUGAUGCAGCGACGCCGCGUGAGGGAUGACGGCCUUCGGGUUGUAAACCUCUUUCAGCAGGGAAGAAGCGAAAGUGACGGUACCUGCAGAAGAAGCGCCGGCUAACUACGUGCCAGCAGCCGCGGUAAUACGUAGGGCGCAAGCGUUGUCCGGAAUUAUUGGGCGUAAAGAGCUCGUAGGCGGCUUGUCACGUCGGGUGUGAAAGCCCGGGGCUUAACCCCGGGUCUGCAUUCGAUACGGGCUAGCUAGAGUGUGGUAGGGGAGAUCGGAAUUCCU
RNAcentral lists this ribosomal RNA (564 nucleotides) under Streptomyces sp. 322F07. Its description in RNAcentral is "bacterial SSU rRNA". It matches the Rfam family "Bacterial small subunit ribosomal RNA", at positions 93 to 671 of the family's 1533-position model. The record is from RNAcentral. Lineage: Bacteria; Bacillati; Actinomycetota; Actinomycetes; Kitasatosporales; Streptomycetaceae. RNAcentral also lists the same sequence under 2 other names.